RNAcentral lists this unclassified non-coding RNA (352 nucleotides) under soil metagenome. RNAcentral's name for it is "partial contains 5.8S ribosomal RNA, internal transcribed spacer 2, and large subunit ribosomal RNA". The stretch from base 1 to 120 matches the Rfam family "5.8S ribosomal RNA", at positions 35 to 154 of the family's 154-position model. The record is from RNAcentral.
GAUGAAGAACGUAGUGAAAUGCGAUAAGUAAUGUGAAUUGCAGAAUUCAGUGAAUCAUCGAAUCUUUGAACGCACAUUGCGCCCGCCAGUAUUCUGGCGGGCAUGCCUGUUCGAGCGUCAUUACAACCCUCAGGCCCCCGGGCCUGGCGUUGGGGAUCGGCGGAGCCCCCCGUGGGCACACGCCGUCCCCCAAAUACAGUGGCGGUCCCGCCGCAGCUUCCAUUGCGUAGUAGCUAACACCUCGCGACUGGAGAGCGGCGCGGCCACGCCGUAAAACACCCAACUCUUCUGAAGUUGACCUCGAAUCAGGUAGGAAUACCCGCUGAACUUAAGCAUAUCAAUAAGCGGAGGA